RNAcentral lists this unclassified non-coding RNA (506 nucleotides) under uncultured Glomeromycotina. Its description in RNAcentral is "SSU rRNA". It matches the Rfam family "Eukaryotic small subunit ribosomal RNA", at positions 591 to 1092 of the family's 1831-position model. The record is from RNAcentral. RNAcentral also lists the same sequence under 1 other name. Lineage: Eukaryota; Fungi; Glomeromycota.
CCAAUAGCGUAUAUUAAAGUUGUUGCAGUUAAAAAGCUCGUAGUUGAAUUUCGGGAUUGACACAUCGGUCGUGCCUUAAGGGGUAUGAACUGGUGUAGUCAAUUUCUCACCUUCUGGAGAACCGCGAUGCCCUUAAUUGGGUGUCGCGGGGAACCAGGACCUUUACUUUGAAAAAAUUAGAGUGUUUAAAGCAGGCAUUUUGCUUGAAUACAUUAGCAUGGAAUAAUAAAAUAGGACGGCAUGAUUCUAUUUUGUUGGUUUCUAGGAUCACCGUAAUGAUUAAUAGGGAUAGUUGGGGGCAUUAGUAUUCAAUUGUCAGAGGUGAAAUUCUUGGAUUUAUUGAAGACUAACUACUGCGAAAGCAUUUGCCAAGGAUGUUUUCAUUAAUCAAGAACGAAAGUUAGGGGAUCGAAGACGAUCAGAUACCGUCGUAGUCUUAACCAUAAACUAUGCCGACUAGGGAUCGGAUGAUGUUAAUUUUUUAAUGACUCAUUCGGCGCCUUACG